Molecule: ribosomal RNA, 507 nt
Filed under: uncultured Glomus
Lineage: Eukaryota; Fungi; Glomeromycota; Glomeromycetes; Glomerales; Glomeraceae
Description: SSU rRNA
Rfam family: Eukaryotic small subunit ribosomal RNA
Source: RNAcentral
AGCAGCCGCGGUAAUUCCAGCUCCAAUAGCGUAUAUUAAAGUUGCUGCAGUUAAAAAGCUCGUAGUUGAAUUUCGGGACCAAUAUGUCGGUCGUGCUUCGGUACGUACUGUCAUAAUUGGUUUCUCCCUUCUGAAGAACCUUGAUGUCAUUAAUUUGGUGUCUUGGGGAAUCAGGACUGUUACUUUGAAAAAAUUAGAGUGUUUAAAGCAGGCUCGCGCUUGAAUACAUUAGCAUGGAAUAAUGAAAUAGGACGUUUGAUUCUAUUUUGUUGGUUUCUAGGAUCGACGUAAUGAUUAAUAGGGAUAGUUGGGGGCAUUAGUAUUCAAUUGUCAGAGGUGAAAUUCUUGGAUUUAUUGAAGACUAACUACUGCGAAAGCAUUUGCCAAGGAUGUUUUCAUUAAUCAAGAACGAAAGUUAGGGGAUCGAAGACGAUCAGAUACCGUCGUAGUCUUAACCAUAAACUAUGCCGACUAGGGAUCGGAUGAUGUUAAUUUUUUAAUGACUCA